Molecule: ribosomal RNA, 520 nt
Filed under: uncultured Glomus
Lineage: Eukaryota; Fungi; Glomeromycota; Glomeromycetes; Glomerales; Glomeraceae
Description: SSU rRNA
Rfam family: Eukaryotic small subunit ribosomal RNA
Source: RNAcentral
AGCAGCCGCGGUAAUUCCAGCUCCAAUAGCGUAUAUUAAAGUUGUUGCAGUUAAAAAGCUCGUAGUUGAAUUUCGGGACCAUCAUAUCGGUCGUGCCUCGGUACGUACUGGUAUUGUUGGUUUCUCCCUUCUGACGAACCAUGAUGUCAUUUAUUUGGUGUUGUGGGGAAUCAGGACUGUUACUUUGAAAAAAUUAGAGUGUUUAAAGCAGGCUCACGCUUGAAUACAUUAGCAUGGAAUAAUGAAAUAGGACGUUUGAUUCUAUUUUGUUGGUUUCUAGGAUCGACGUAAUGAUUAAUAGGGAUAGUUGGGGGCAUUAGUAUUCAAUUGUCAGAGGUGAAAUUCUUGGAUUUAUUGAAGACUAACUACUGCGAAAGCAAUUUGCCAAGGAUGUUUUCAUUAAUCAAGAACGAAAGUUAGGGGAUCGAAGACGAUCAGAUACCGUCGUAGUCUUAACCAUAAACUAUGCCGACUAGGGAUCGGAUGAUGUAAUUUUUAAUGACUCAUUCGGCGCCUUAAC